UAACAGUUGUAAAAUUCGCAACAAACUGACGAGAAAAGGACCAGAGCCGUUACAAUAGAAUACAACCAUGACCAUCAGUAACGACAAACAUCGAAACAAUGAGUAGCUUCUACGUGAUCUCGCAACAUACUAGAAACUGCAGCCAGCUCUUUCUUUCUUUCCCUCCCUCUCCCCCUCUUCCUCACUCACUCACUCUCUUUAAUCACACCUAAAAAACACACAUUUAUUAAUGCAGUCUUUAGAUAUAAGAUGUGGUGGUCACAGCUGGAAAGUCUUUGAUAAUAAAUAGGUCUGCUGAGUUGGGACUGUCCUGAGACUAUACAACUGCAAUAACAAAUCGAAGAACUACAAUAUUUGUUCAAGGAUAUAAUAUAGUGUAUAACAGGCACAGAUCUACAAAUACUGGUUUUGAAUUUUGCCACAAAGCAAGCAAAUUUUAGCGGAAGGGUAAGUCGAUUACAUCGACCCCAGGGCUCAACUGAUACUUAUUUUAUCAGCCCACGAAAGGAUGAAAGGCAAAGUCGACCUCGGCGGAAUUUGAACUCAGAACAGAUCUACAUAUACAAAAGGAGGAACAUAACCGAUUAACUACGCUCCCUAUUAUAUCACUGGUAUUAAAUUAUCGUAUCGACCCUGGAAAGAUGAAAGGCAAAUUCGACCUGGACGGGAUUUGAAGUCAGGACGGAGAGAGAGACUGUUGCAGUUUCUAACAACAGCAGCAGCAGCACAACUUGUAAGCAGCAGACGACAUGAGACAGCUUCGAUAUAACAACAACAACGAGAACAAUAACAACAUCUGUAGUAAUGUAGUUGUAUCAAUAAUUCAAAGAGCAGACGACAUGGUAGAAGAAUCGAAAGAAGAAAAGACAGACGUUAAAUAAGUCGAUAAUAAUAAUAAUUAAGCAAGAUAUAGAUGGAAUAAUUUCAUUAAAAGAUGACAACGAAUCAGUGAUAAGAACAAUAACAAAUGACAGCAACAAUAACAACAAGCAUUUCAAAGUAUAAUUUACAAUAACUUGGAGAUAAAAAUCGAACAGCAGACGACAGCGUGCAAGUUGUAACAACAACUAAAGCAACUAUGAACUCCACGCGAUAUCAUACUAUUAUUGCUCGUCCAGUUUCGGGCCUCACUCGUUGUCAAUCGUCCUGCCGGUUGUAGCUCGUAGGACUCUCUCUCUCUAUAUAUAUAUAUAUGUAUAUGAAAGCACCGUCACUAUCGGGAUGAUCCAGAUAAUUCUCGCCACCACCUCCACUACGAUGGAGUCGACGACGGUGGAGAAGAAGAGAAAGAAAUAGAAGAAAUAAAAGAACAACAAUAACUACUAUUACUACUAAUAUUACUAUACUACUACUACUACUACCACUUAGUAGUAGUACUACUACUGCUGCUGUGAGUGAAAGAAAGCCAGCGCCCUGCCAAUGUUCUGCCGACACCACGGCCGCCAUCAUAGCUCCUCGCUGCUGCUAGUGUUGUCGAGUUGUUGUGUGUGAUAUACAAUGUGUAGCUUCGGAGUUGUUUGGUUCUAGGCAUCGGAUUUACUUAACUAUUGGAAUUACACUUGAAGAAGAAGAAGUAGAAGAAAAAAAAAUAAAAUACCAUGGCUGCUUCGCGACUUGUUGAAGAGAAGGAUAGUCCCGAUCCUUUCCAGGAAGCUGAUAAGGGGAAAAUCUG
Molecule: long non-coding RNA, 1672 nt
Organism: Octopus sinensis (East Asian common octopus)
Lineage: Eukaryota; Metazoa; Mollusca; Cephalopoda; Octopoda; Octopodidae
Exons: 2
Source: RefSeq, a predicted model, not a curated record